Molecule: long non-coding RNA, 657 nt
Organism: Folsomia candida
Lineage: Eukaryota; Metazoa; Arthropoda; Collembola; Entomobryomorpha; Isotomidae
Exons: 3
Source: RefSeq, a predicted model, not a curated record
UUCCCCUACAAAUAAUGGGUGGGGGAAGAAGGAGCGAGGAAGAAGGGGCCUUGCAAAAAAGGUUCCUUUUUCGCCAGGCCCAUUCUUCGUAGACUCGUACUUUUAUAAUCUUGUAUUUUGAAUAUGUGCAACCUAAGUCCAGUAACCACACUCACAGAAAUAUUAUUAGGAUUUGUAGACGAAUAUGACACUACCGAUAUGGUGAUAAAUUUACCACCGACUGGUUACCAUUAUCACCAGAUUCGUUAUAAUUGUCACCAAACCGGCAAUAUUUGUAACCAGUCGGUUUCAAAUUUAUAACCAAUCAGUUGUAAAUUUAUCACCAUGGCGGUAGAGUCAUAUUCGUCUACUCUUUGGUUAUAAUCGUAACCACACUUCUAAGAGUGCAGAAGCACAAAUGUAAUAGGAUAACAAACAGAGAGCAGAUCUUAAACUAAUUAAUAUUAUCCAUGUAACCUAUAGCCGGGGUCGUCGCGAAAUAAGUUCAUCGAGAAAAUGCAACCGGCCAGGAGAUGCUGGAUUGCCAGGAAAUUAAUCAAGAGUGGAGUAUUCCUUUUGUAUGGGUAUUUAAAAACAAACAUUUUGCAUGGAUUGAUGAAUUUACAUAUGUUUAUUUAGACUUAAUAUUUACUCAUCAUGAGGAACAAUUAUACCCUU